This 427-nucleotide ribosomal RNA is filed under the name uncultured bacterium. RNAcentral describes it as "bacterial SSU rRNA". It matches the Rfam family "Bacterial small subunit ribosomal RNA", at positions 355 to 775 of the family's 1533-position model. The record is from RNAcentral.
UGGGGAAUCUUGCGCAAUGGGCGAAAGCCUGACGCAGCAACGCCGCGUGGAGGAAGAAGGCCUUCGGGUUGUAAACUCCUGUCAGGGGGAAAGAAGGCACCUGGGUUAAUAGCCCAAGGGCCGACGGUACCCCCAGAGGAAGCCACGGCUAACUACGUGCCAGCAGCCGCGGUAAUACGUAGGUGGCGAGCGUUGUCCGGAAUUAUUGGGCGUAAAGAGCGCGUAGGCGGCUUGUCAGGUCCGACGUGAAAUCCCGGGGCUCAACCCCGGACGUGCAUCGGAAACCGGCUUGCUAGAGUCUGGGAGAGGGAAGUGGAAUUCCUGGUGUAGCGGUGAAAUGCGCAGAUAUCAGGAGGAACACCGGUAGCGAAGGCUGCUUCCUGGAACAGUACUGACGCUGAGGCGCGAAAGCUAGGGGAGCAAACAG